UCCAGUUUGACUGCUAGGAGAGUAAACCUAUUCGUAUGGUUCCUAUUCAACUGUCUACAGCAUUCAUAUGCUUGGGAGAAUUUAUUUGUUUCUCCGGUUCGGUGAUUGUGGUGUCUGCCAGAGUGCUUGGAGUCCUCAGGAAGCGCUAGGAGCAUCCUUCAACGGAGGUACCCAGUCGGGGGUGCCAGGUGAUCCGUUACAUUGGUGGCAAGCGGUGGGAUGGCGUCCUAGUGCGAGGUAAAGCAGCUCAGAGACACAGUUCGUUUGGAUUUACAAAUUGAAGGCGACACUAGUGUUUAUACAGCGUCCCUGUCUACAUAAAGAUUUGGGAAAA
Molecule: non-coding RNA, 334 nt
Organism: Pelobates cultripes (western spadefoot toad)
Lineage: Eukaryota; Metazoa; Chordata; Amphibia; Anura; Pelobatidae
Source: the annotation of a GenBank genome assembly